This 456-nucleotide ribosomal RNA is filed under the name uncultured organism. RNAcentral's name for it is "partial 16S ribosomal RNA". It matches the Rfam family "Bacterial small subunit ribosomal RNA", at positions 329 to 801 of the family's 1533-position model. The record is from RNAcentral.
ACGUACACUCCUACGGGAGGCAGCAGUGGGGAAUAUUGGACAAUGGGCGCAAGCCUGAUCCAGCCAUGCCGCGUGAGUGAUGAAGGCCCUAGGGUUGUAAAGCUCUUUCACCGGAGAAGAUAAUGACGGUAUCCGGAGAAGAAGCCCCGGCUAACUUCGUGCCAGCAGCCGCGGUAAUACGAAGGGGGCUAGCGUUGUUCGGAAUUACUGGGCGUAAAGCGCACGUAGGCGGAUCGAUCAGUCAGGGGUGAAAUCCCAGGGCUCAACCCUGGAACUGCCUUUGAUACUGUCGAUCUGGAGUAUGGAAGAGGUGAGUGGAAUUCCGAGUGUAGAGGUGAAAUUCGUAGAUAUUCGGAGGAACACCAGUGGCGAAGGCGGCUCACUGGUCCAUUACUGACGCUGAGGUGCGAAAGCGUGGGGAGCAAACAGGAUUAGAUACCCCUGUAGUCCCAUGAU